CACGGGGGGAGCAAGCGUUGUUCGGAAUCACUGGGCGUAAAGGGCGUGUAGGCGGUCAGGUAAGUGGGAUGUGAAAUGCCCCGGCUCACCCGGGGACUGGCAUCUCAUACUGCUUGGCUUGAGUACGGGAGAGGAUGUGGGAAUUCCAGGUGUAGCGGUGAAAUGCGUAGAUAUCUGGAGGAACACCAAUGGCGAAGGCAGCUCGCUAGGACGUGACUGACGCUGAGACGCGAAAGCGUGGGGAGCAAACAGG
This 253-nucleotide ribosomal RNA is filed under the name uncultured prokaryote. RNAcentral describes it as "partial 16S ribosomal RNA". It matches the Rfam family "Bacterial small subunit ribosomal RNA", at positions 524 to 776 of the family's 1533-position model. The record is from RNAcentral.